RNAcentral lists this ribosomal RNA (1676 nucleotides) under Orbilia oligospora. RNAcentral's name for it is "partial 18S ribosomal RNA, small subunit". It matches the Rfam family "Eukaryotic small subunit ribosomal RNA". Lineage: Eukaryota; Fungi; Ascomycota; Orbiliomycetes; Orbiliales; Orbiliaceae. The record is from RNAcentral.
AGCCAUGCAUGUCUAAGUAUAAGCAACUAUACAGUGAAACUGCGAAUGGCUCAUUAAAUCAGUUAUCGUUUAUUUGAUAGUACCUUACUACUUGGAUAACCGUGGUAAUUCUAGAGCUAAUACAUGCUAAAAAUCCCGACCUCCGGAAGGGAUGUAUUUAUUAGAUAAAAAACCAAUGCCUUCGGGCUCCUUGGUGAUUCAUGAUAACUUAACGAAUCGCAUGGCCUUGCGCCGGCGAUGGUUCAUUCAAAUUUCUGCCCUAUCAACUUUCGAUGGUAGGAUAGUGGCCUACCAUGGUUUCAACGGGUAACGGGGAAAUUAGGGUUCGAUUCCGGAGAGGGAGCCUGAGUAAACGGCUACCACAUCCAAGGAAGGCAGCAGGCGCGCAAAUUACCCAAUCCCGAUUCGGGGNAGGUAGUGACAAUAAAUACUGAUACAGGGCUCUUUUGGGUCUUGUAAUUGGAAUGAGUACAAUUUAAAUCCCUUAACGAGGAACAAUUGGAGGGCAAGUCUGGUGCCAGCAGCCGCGGUAAUUCCAGCUCCAAUAGCGUAUAUUAAAGUUGUUGCAGUUAAAAAGCUCGUAGUUGAACCUUGGGUUUGGCUGCUCGGUCCGCCUAACCGCGUGCACUGAUGCGGCCGGAUCUUUCCUUCUGGCUAACCUCAUGCCCUUUACUGGGUGUGCUGGGGAUCCAGGACUUUUACUUUGAAAAAAUUAGAGUGUUCAAAGCAGGCCUUUGCUCGAAUACAUUAGCAUGGAAUAAUAGAAUAGGACGGCGGUUCUAUUUUGUUGGUUUCUAGAGCCACCGUAAUGAUUAAUAGGGAUAGUCGGGGGCAUCAGUAUUCAAUUGUCAGAGGUGAAAUUCUUGGAUUUAUUGAAGACUAACUACUGCGAAAGCAUUUGCCAAGGAUGUUUUCAUUAAUCAGUGAACGAAAGUUAGGGGAUCGAAGACGAUCAGAUACCGUCGUAGUCUUAACCAUAAACUAUGCCGACUAGGGAUCGGGCGGUGUUCAACUUAUGACCCGCUCGGCACCUUACGAGAAAUCAAAGUUUUUGGGUUCUGGGGGGAGUAUGGUCNCAAGGCUGAAACUUAAAGGAAUUGACGGAAGGGCACCACCAGAUGUGGAGCCUGCGGCUUAAUUUGACUCAACACGGGGAAACUCACCAGGUCCAGACACAUUAAGGAUUGACAGAUUGAGAGCUCUUUCUUGAUUAUGUGGGUGGUGGUGCAUGGCCGUUCUUAGUUGGUGGAGUGAUUUGUCUGCUUAAUUGCGAUAACGAACGAGACCUUAACCUGCUAAAUAGCCUGGCUAGCUUUUGCUGGUCACCGGCUUCUUAGAGGGACUAUCGGCUCAAGCCGAUGGAAGUUUGAGGCAAUAACAGGUCUGUGAUGCCCUUAGAUGUUCUGGGCCGCACGCGCGCUACACUGACAGAGCCAACGAGUAUAACCCUUAGCCGAGAGGUUUAGGUAAUCUUGUUAAACUCUGUCGUGCUGGGGAUAGGGCAUUGCAAUUAUUGCCCUUCAACGAGGAAUAUCUAGUAAGCGCAAGUCAUCAGCUUGCGUUGAUUACGUCCCUGCCCUUUGUACACACCGCCCGUCGCUACUACCGAUUGAAUGGCUCAGUGAGGCCUUCGGACUGGCUCCAGGAGGUUGGCAACAACCACCCAGAGCCGGAAA